UUAUUUGAGAGUUUGAUCCUGGCUCAGGAUGAACGCUGGCGGCGUGCCUAACACAUGCAAGUUGAGCGAUUUACUUCGGUAAAGAGCGGCGGACGGGUGAGUAACGCGUGGGUAACCUACCCUGUACACACGGAUAACAUACCGAAAGGUAUGCUAAUACGGGAUAAUAUAUUUGAGAGGCAUCUCUUGAAUAUCAAAGGUGAGCCAGUACAGGAUGGACCCGCGUCUGAUUAGCUAGUUGGUAAGGUAACGGCUUACCAAGGCGACGAUCAGUAGCCGACCUGAGAGGGUGAUCGGCCACAUUGGAACUGAGACAC
RNAcentral lists this ribosomal RNA (317 nucleotides) under Clostridioides difficile. Its description in RNAcentral is "bacterial SSU rRNA". It matches the Rfam family "Bacterial small subunit ribosomal RNA", at positions 1 to 327 of the family's 1533-position model. Lineage: Bacteria; Bacillati; Bacillota; Clostridia; Peptostreptococcales; Peptostreptococcaceae. The record is from RNAcentral.